This 500-nucleotide ribosomal RNA is filed under the name uncultured bacterium. RNAcentral's name for it is "partial 16S ribosomal RNA". It matches the Rfam family "Bacterial small subunit ribosomal RNA", at positions 29 to 523 of the family's 1533-position model. The record is from RNAcentral.
AUUGAACGCUGGCGGCAUGCUUUACACAUGCAAGUCGAACGGUAACAGGGUGGUUGCACCGCUGACGAGUGGCGAACGGGUGAGUAAUGCGUCGGAACGUGCCGAGUAGUGGGGGAUAACGCAGCGAAAGUUGUGCUAAUACCGCAUACGUACUGAGGUAGAAAGCGGGGGACCUUCGGGCCUCACGCUAUUCGAGCGGCCGACGUCUGAUUAGCUAGUAGGUGAGGUAAAGGCUCACCGAGGCGACGAUCAGUAGCGGGUCUGAGAGGAUGGUCCGACACACUGGGACUGAGAGAGCGCCCAGACUCCGACGGGAGGGAGCAGUGGGGAAUUUUGGGAAAUGGGCGAGAGCCUGGUCCAGCCAUGGCGCGUGUCUGAAGAAGGCCUUCGGGUUGUAAAGGACUUUUGUCAGGGAGGAAAUCCCUAGUGCUAAUAACACUGGGGGAUGACAGUACCUGAAGAAUAAGCACCGGCUAACUACGUGCCAGCAGCCGCGGUAA